AACGAACGCUGGCGGCGUGCCUCAGACAUGCAAGUCGAACGCGAAAGUCCCCUUCGGGGGAUGAGUAGAGUGGCGCACGGGUGAGUAACACGUAGGUAAUCUACCUUCGGGUGGGGAAUAACAACCGGAAACGGUUGCUAAUACCGCAUAAUGCAGCGGCACCUAAUGGUGACAGUUGUUAAAGCGGGGGAUCGCAAGACCUCGCGCCUGAAGAGGAGCCUGCGGCGGAUUAGCUAGUUGGCAGGGUAACGGCCUACCAAGGCGACGAUCCGUAGCCGGCCUGAGAGGGCGGUCGGCCACACUGACACUGACAUACGGGUCAGACUCCUACGGGAGGCAGCAGUCGGGAAUUUUGGGCAAUGGGCGAAAGCCUGACCCAGCAACGCCGCGUGAAGGAUGAAAUCCCUCGGGAUGUAAACUUCGCAAGAACGGGGAGAAUAAGCCGGUGUCAACACCACCGGCGAUGACGGUACCGUUUGUAAGCUCCGGCUAACUCCGUGCCAGCAGCCGCGGUAAUACGGGGGG
RNAcentral lists this ribosomal RNA (525 nucleotides) under uncultured bacterium. RNAcentral's name for it is "bacterial SSU rRNA". It matches the Rfam family "Bacterial small subunit ribosomal RNA", at positions 29 to 532 of the family's 1533-position model. The record is from RNAcentral.